AGAGCGAACGCUGGCGGCAGGCCUAACACAUGCAAGUCGAGCGCCGUAGCAAUACGGAGCGGCAGACGGGAGAGUAACACGUGGGAACGUGCCCUUUGGUUCGGAACAACACAGGGAAACUUGUGCUAAUACCGGAUAAGCCCUUACGGGGAAAGAUUUAUCGCCAAAGGAUCGGCCCGCGUCUGAUUAGCUAGUUGGUGAGGUAACGGCUCACCAAGGCGACGAUCAGUAGCUGGUCUGAGAGGAUGAUCAGCCUCACUGGGACUGAGACACGGCCCAGACUCCUACGGGAGGCAGCAGUGGGAAUAUUGGACAAUGGGCGCAAGCCUGAUCCAGCCAUGCCGCGUGGAUGAUGAAGGCCCUAGGGUUGUAAAGUCCUUUCGGCGGGGAAGAUAAUGACGGUACCCGCAGAAGAAGCCCCGGCUAACUUCGUGCCAGCAGCCGC
RNAcentral lists this ribosomal RNA (445 nucleotides) under uncultured bacterium. Its description in RNAcentral is "SSU rRNA". It matches the Rfam family "Bacterial small subunit ribosomal RNA", at positions 26 to 518 of the family's 1533-position model. The record is from RNAcentral.